This is a long non-coding RNA of Oreochromis aureus, 6793 nucleotides long. The record is from Ensembl. Lineage: Eukaryota; Metazoa; Chordata; Actinopteri; Cichliformes; Cichlidae.
GGGUUUUAUGAUGGGGUCGCUCCUAUAAAGCUGCCUGGAACUAACAAAGGGGUGAAGAUUGUUUCAGAGGAACACCGGCCUCGUCUUCCCUUCUAGAAGUGCAUGCUUAAAUGAAGAUGAAUAAAGAUGAAUAAAGAUUUUGUAAAAAUUACUACUGAGUUCCGGUACCAUCUCUGGAUCCCUCGACGAAUAAAAGAACCGGGGCAAAACUGAUUUUGCAACAAGAGUUAGAGUAGCUUGAGCCAAACGGUGAAAUACCUGGCAUAAAGUUUCCAAAUGAUCUUGCCAUGUUUCAGUGUAAACUACUAGAUCAUCUAGGUAGGCACUGCAGUUGGACAGGCCACGGAGGACUUUAUUUACCAGCCUCUGGAAGCUCAUUUGCUUCAGCAAGAGGCUGCACUGGAGAGUGGACUUUGUCACAUGUGAGCCACCCACAUCAACAGGAUGGGAACUCAUGUGGAGUGCAUGUCAUAAUGUUUGCCCAAUCUCUCAUUGAGGGUAAAACACAUGUGGAGGAGUACAACACUGAAAUCCCAAAGCUCAGGUCCCAACUUUGCCACUACUUAUUUUCCUCAAUAGAUCGAACUAGGAAGUGCAGUCAGUGCUGGUGUCUAAUUGCAGCCAAAGACCGGGUGCAGUGCCAGAAAUGUGGUGCAUACAAGCACAUGCGUUGUUCAAAGUCUGUUUGUGGCAUCUGUAUCUUCUGUGAGAGGCCGUAAAGCCAAACUGCCCGCAAUGAUUCUUGACAGGCCUAAGAAGGCCAAAACUAAAGUAACGGUGUUUAGUGUUCUGAGUGAAGAGGAGGCUGGGGAGCUAGCCCUCUGGUUUGCUGGAAGAUUGGCCUGCGAUGUCACAAGAGACAUGGUCUGUAAAGGCAUCGACCAUUCAAGUGCUGAUGUGACAAAACAGACUCUUCACAAAAUCCAACACAACCUUAAACAGGAACUGACUGAUUCCUCAACUUUCAGUUUGCUGACACACACCUUUGGCCCUGCUGCACUGGAUUCUGUCAUUUCUUUCCUGUGUGAAAAACUGGAUCUUGUCUCUUAAAUAAUAAAACCUUUUGUGACUUUUGUUUGUUCUGUAAAUCAGAAUCUUGAAAAUUGUUCACUGUUGUUUUAAGUUUGUAUUAAGUUAACUAUUUGGUAAAAAUGUUUUGUUCCUAAUCCAAACAGCAUAAUGACUGUUCUAACACAUAUCUUAAAAAUGCUACAAAGAAAGAAAAUUAUCACAUAUGUUUCAAUAUGAAUGUAAUUGUGUCACACUCGGUUUGUAGUAGCUUUCCUGUUUUAUUUUGUGAGUUUUGGUAUGUUUACACUGUUGUCAUUUUUAUUUCCCUUGUGUUCGUCUUCCCUUCAGUCAGUCUUUAUUUCAAAAUCCCGCUUUUCCCAAUGGCCUAUUUAUUUCAUAAUGCGACUUUUCAGCAGAAUGACUUUGCCUGUCAAUCAAGAAAGACAGGGCGGAGCCAGUUGUGUGAUUGGUUGCUCCUUUGCUCAGACAUAAGAAAUAGCACAUGAAGUGUCGAUUUAGGUCCAAUGGUGCAGUGCGUCUCCUACCUAUGUUUAUACCUAUGUAAACUUUUAUACACUAGUUUUUACCUGUCUUGUUUCAGAAAGGUUUAAAAGGGUAAUGUCCACAUUUUAUAAUUUUUGAAUUCAACAUAUUUUAUUAAAGUAAUUGAGCUUGAACACAGAAAAAACUGAAUCAAAUAAUCAUAAAAUCAAAUCACUUGCACUAUACUGAAGUCUAAUCUACUCUGAGCUAAUGCUGGUUUCCAACACUAAUGAUCGGGUGAAGGAGAGAGAUGAGGGUGUGCAUGGCCACUGGUGCUCUUAUCCCUGUUCUGUGUGAUACAAUCCAACAGGAAAGCAGUCAAACCCUUGGACAUUAGCGAAGUUAACGUUCACAAAUAUAUACACACAGAGGAACUCUGAGCCCCAAUGUCAGCAUUAGCACAAACAUGCCACUUCAUACCAAAUCUCAGUGUGAGGUCAGGUAUUAGUCUCAUUCCAUUACUCUGGCUAUAUUUUCUUACUCAUCAUUACUAUUAAACUUAUACUUAGUCAUACUCUAAAUUACAAUUUAGGAUGAUUAACUAUUAACAAAAUCACACCCCGAUAACUCUGUUAUUACACUUUGUAUUUAAUCAUAAAAAGGCUGGAUGUUGAAACCUUUUACUUCUAUUUUGUAUGAGCCAGGGGUCCUCAACAGCUGAUACUCUAUGUCCAAAAAGUGACAGGUACCGUUUUAUGGAGCAAAAAACUUAAGAGCGCAUAUUUUAUAAAUAAUACCAACAAUUAUAAAUGCAGAUCUUUAAUAGUAAUAAGUAAUAGUAAUAAGUAAUCCUUUAUUUAUGAUACAUAGCAAUAUAAAAAUAGCAACAUAUGAAAAUAUUACAAUGGGCACAGAUGAAUUUGUAUCAAAAACAGCAACCAAGCCAAAGUAAUGAAUAACACACAUAAAUAACAACUGCUUGAGAGAGACCAAACAAUUUCUUUUCAUCUGUUCCUUGGCAUAAAGUUAAGACAGCUAUUCAGCUUUAGGUUUCAGUAAACAGAGGUAAUGGAUGCAGUCCCUUUGAAAUUUCUACACAAAAGUCUACUUGUGCAUAUACUUAGCUUUAACUCUUCUCUUUUUUGUUUUGUAUUCCAAAAGGUUUUCAUUUUCUCCAGAGGAUGUCUCCCUUUCAGUGGUUAUCGAUUGUUCACAUUCAUUUUCACAGACUGUUGGAAUGUCGAUGCUGGCCGAACGUUUCUUGCUAGAAUGCAAUGGCCUAAUUUUGCGUGCAUUAUCUGUCGUCUUUAUUUCGUACUGACAUAUACCUUUGCCUACUUCUUGUUUCGUUUUUAAGACAUUUGUAUGCAGUUCAUCUAUCAUUGCAGUAAUGCCCUCUGGAAUAAAUGCCCACUGUUUAACUGUGUCUAAAACAGCAUUUAGUUUUCCAACCGCGUCUUCUGUGCAUUUUUUGUCUGUGCUUUCAACUACAGGAGUGUCAUUCAAAGUUGAUAAAGGACUUUUCAGAGAGUUUUUCAUUUGUUUAAAAUGGCUACAAGCCACCUUCAGGCAAGCACAUGUGUUAUAGUGAGAGAACGUACAACAAGUGCACUGAAGUGUUUCAGCCGAUGCAAAAAAAAACACAGAUUUCCAAACAAACUUGGCAUUUUUAUCACUUUCAAGUCCUCACAGUGUACAAAGUAAUGCCUUUCUUUCACUGUCAAAGGAGUUUGCAAAGAAAAGCGUCUGGACUUCUUUAAGUUGCUUGAAGACGUUUCACCUCUCAUCCGAGAAGCUUCUUCAGUUCUAAGGUCAAAUGGCCGAGAGUCCCAGAUUUAAACCCAGUGGGAGUAUCCCCCCAAGGAGGGACAAAGGGCCCCCUGGUGAUCCUCUAAUCACAUGCGCCAAGGUGUGAAAGCGGGUGUGGGACCUAAUCAGCCAAGGUUUCGGGUGAGCUCAUCCUCGCUUUCUUUCACUGCAAUUCUUGCCAAGGUAGAAAUGUCUGUUUCCAUGUUUGGAUAGAUGUCAUUGUCAACCUCUGCUAAUUUUGCAAGUAACACUAGAUGCUUGCAAAGAAGUCCUCGUAAGCCAUAUGUACAGUUGCAGUAGGACUCAACAGGGCAGACAUCAUACACUAUGUCUUCUCUUGACUCAGAUGGGACUUGAUAUGCAUUAACUCCAUGGCUGUUCUUGACUGUAAUUUUAAGAGCCCAACCACUUUCCAUCAGUCUUGAAGCAGAGUCUGAAACUUGAGACAAGGUGUCAGCAAACCUGUUUUUCAUGCGGCCCACAUCUUGCAGGGUUUUUAUGACUGAGAAGUAGUUGUCGGCCUUCCCUAGGAGCACUUCAAUUAGAUCAUCCAGAUGCCUAUUCUUGUAGCCAGAUAAAAACUGGUAUUUCAGGCGGUGGAAAAAUCGGAAAAAAAGUUAUUUGAAAUGAUUAGUAACUGUAAUUGAAGGAAUUUAAAGUUUAAAUCAAGAGUGUAUUAUUAAAAAAAUUUUUGAAUACCUAUUGCACACAUGUCUUUUAUAAAGGAAUGCUCUGUGCCGGUUUAGCUGGUUUAGGCAAAUCCACCUACUCUGUUUUUUGUUGUGAGAACAUAAAAAACACUGCUAGAAUUUAAAGGAUUCGCCUAAAAGCUGUUCUGGCAAUGACACAAAGAACCUACUUAGUUUAGCCUCUUGGAUUAAUGCAUAAUAUCUUUUUUUUCAGCAAUAAAAUUGAAUAAGGUCAAAAUAAUAAAUCAUACCUUUCAGUCACAUUGUUUGUUUCAGAACGAGCGUGACUGAAGUGACGGCCGUAGUCACACCACAUGUGGCCAAUGCCUUCCCAGUGCUUCUGAAAAUACUGGCACACCAAAGGUUAUUGCUUAAAUGUCUGGCAAAACUCUGCUGAUGUGGCUUUAAAGUCUUCCUCCUAAGAGAAUUGGAUGCAACAGAAUAUAUUUCAAUCCAUUUAACAGACCUAUUGAAAUCUUUAAUAUUAUGUAUUGAAGCCCUUUUCCUUUUAUUGAAUAACGUUAAGAAUUUUAAGUUAUUAAUAAUAUGUCGUGUUUUUGUAUUAAGAAGCAAUUAUUUCUUCCCUUACAAUGGAUAAGAAGGAACACUAAACCUAUAAGCAUAUUUGGUUUCAGCAUCUGUCUGUGAAAGAAUCCCACUCACAAGUUCUACUGCACUGUGGGCGACACAAUGAUGGUCUGCACAGCUUAAGUACUUGUUUUGAUAAGCAAGAUAAGAAGCCAGUUUUCAAAAUCAUUUCAAAAAUCUAUUUUGUAUCUCUCUGUAACUUUUUUUAGCAACUGAAAGUUAUUAUGCUCUUGGUGCAAUCAAGAAAUCAAAAUGUGAAAUAGACAAAUUACACUUACAGAUGUGCAAGCUUUCAGCUUACAAAACAAAGAAAUGAUUUCAUUUCUCUUUUGGGUGUUAGAAAGCCCAUGGACCCCGGACUCUGAUUUUGAAAGCCAUCAAUUAACAGCCUGUUAAUGUAAGAGAAAAAAAGUUAAUCUGGAGAGACAGAGGAGCAGCUGUACAAAAAGCAUAAAAGAAAGCUGACGUCCAAAAAUAACUUUGUCACUCACUGGACAAGAGGAACUGUGCAUUACAGAAAUCAACCAGACAAACAUAUUUUUAAAUGUCAAAAAGAGCUUUGGGAAGCAGCCACCAGAAGAUGAGUGCACUGUGGUCUUAAAUGGAUGGACAUAGUCACUCAACAUUUUAUCCCUUUAUAUUCAUUAACCUGAGUAGGUGAAUAUCACAAUGAGGCAAAUCAUAACAACAGGACCCUGUUGUAAAAAUGUGUUUCAGGUGCAUCUUAGACAACGUGAAAAGAAAACAAUGUGGUUUACCUGCAAGACAUGGUACCAGCAUAGAAGGAUAGCUGACUCUGGAAAAACCUUCUGCAAAGCAUUUAUUUCCGCAAAGUCUUUGUCAACCAUAAAUGCUCUACAGAAAAAAAGAAAACACUAAAUGAGAUUAAACAGUAUGAAAAUGUUUUUGCUAUCUCAAAGCACCACUUCAAUGCCAAAUUAAACAUUUCAACUCUCAAGUAGAUAUAUAAAAUACUGCAUACAGCCUGAAGGAAUAACUUUAACAACUAGAAAGGAAGGUUUUUUGCAGCCCAUGCUGCAGCUAUAGCAUUAGAUUCUGGCAUAUUAUAACUUUUUUGAAAAGGAAUUAUUUCAAAAUUAAUAGCUGUCAAUGUGAUAUUUACCUCGGUGAAGUUGGGAAAUGCUCACAAACUAUUCCAAGAACAGUUUCCAGGGUUUUCUGACUUUCGUUGCUGACAAUAGCAUAGGCCACAGGGACUCCACGCCCAUGAUCAUCUCUUACAACAAGUGUGAAUAAGGGAAAUGAAUACUGGUUAACACAGUGUGUGGUGUCAACAAAUACUAACUGUUUUGCAGAGUUCUCCAUGUUUGAUUUCAUUACAGGUGUCUGCAAAACAAUCAUUAGUUCUUGGUCAGAUGUGUAUGGUUGAUAGAAGAGAACAUGUUCUUGAUGUUUUCCAUUAAGUAAGGUAUGUACACUUUGACUGUCUCCACAGUUAAAGUGCUUCUUCCUCAUCAUGCAGGUUCUAACACUGUCAAUGUCACGUGGUGUGACAAAAUGCUCUCUGUUGUGAAGAUCUCUGUGUCCAUGUUCUUUGGCCCAUUUAUGACAUUCGGUUAGUAUGAUGGCUGGCUUAGUUCCAAGGGAAAGCAGUUCCUCAAUCUUCCUCCUCAAAUCACUGGAAAUAUUGUUGAAAUGUGCGUCUUUUGGGUCCGAAGAAUCAUGCCCAUCAUGCUUAUCAUAUGUACGCUGCACGAUGACUGUGUGGUCUUUCCAACAUUUGAGUACUUUAAAUGAAACAUAGGCCUUACAGCCCACUGCUUUGUAGCUGUUCCGACUUUUUUUUCCAGCUCUGAUGCAGUUGAAUUUGUAAUAGUCUCUCUUCCUGUCUUUACCUGAGGCCACAUUUAAACAUUUAUAAUGUCCAUGAAGGGUUAAUGAGUUCAAUUUUUCUAACACAACACUAAAUGGGUCCUCCUGGCAUUGUGACACAUGCACACAAAGUUGUGUAUCUUUUCCAGUUCUUUUUUUUUUCGUCAUUCAGGACACUUCUUCUAAUUAUAUCGUCCAUUUCUGGUGGAAAAAUAACAAAGGUUUAAUUAGUCAAUAAUCAUUAAUUCAUUUUAACUUGUUUUGGGUUUUUUCGCAAUACAAUGUAAAUAUUAAAUAUAAUAUUAAAACAAUAUAUGUAUAAUAUAAAACAAACAGGGGCUAAAAGAAAUGCCUAAACUUUCAUAUGGUAUGUCUCUGGC